Molecule: ribosomal RNA, 743 nt
Filed under: Triticum aestivum (bread wheat)
Lineage: Eukaryota; Viridiplantae; Streptophyta; Magnoliopsida; Poales; Poaceae
Description: partial small subunit ribosomal RNA
Source: RNAcentral
ACAACCCUAGCACCCCGCCUCCCUGUUAAGUGCUGAGGGAUGUACGUAAUGAUAUCUGCGAGACAGCUCCGGCAAUCUGCCGGUGACAUAUCCGGCCUGCACUGCGCCACACCGUAAAUCUUGGGUUUCGCCUUGUCGAUCGUCUCGAACCCCUCCUCCCCUGUGCCGAACCGCCUGGAGGAGUCAGCGGCCGCGUAAUCCGCGGUGGCGUUUAUGAGCAUGCCCACGGCGGCGUCGAACACCUUCACCGGCACGGUCACGUUCUGCGUGUUGUACAGUACGAGGACGCUGUUGUCGCCGUUGGUGGCGGAGAGAAAGUUCUGGUUGGAGAAGCGGAGGUAGCAGGGGUCGUAGUAGACGGUGGCGUCCUUGCUGUAGGGGCAGAGCUGCUGCGCGUCCUUGAAGCCGUUGGACACGCAGUCGCCGCAGGCGGAGGCGUUGGCGUCGCCGCGGCAGAGCGCGAGCGCGUAGACGAUGUCCGGAACAGUGCCGACGCUGGCGAGCGCGAAGAGCGUCCGCGAGGAGGAGGCGUUCUUGGGAAGGGUGGUGGAGAGGGCCUGGAUGUUAGCCUGGUAGGUGCUGUUCUGAGUGAAGUUGCUGUUCUUGCCGCAGCUCUGCCACUGGGAAGCGGCCAGCGGCGGGAGGAGGAAGGCAAGGAGGAGGGCCGUGGCGGUGGCGAGGUAGGAGGGGAUGCGGCCGCGGUGGUGUGAGGCCAUGGUGUUUGGCCGCUUGGGCGAGCCGAC